UUCUUGAAUGGACUAGGUCUUGUUGUGGUAGAGCGGCCGGCUGGUAACUGACUAGUCGGGCGUAGGUUCGAAUCCUACUUGAAAAGC
RNAcentral lists this transfer RNA (87 nucleotides) under Taraxacum mongolicum. RNAcentral describes it as "tRNA-Thr". Lineage: Eukaryota; Viridiplantae; Streptophyta; Magnoliopsida; Asterales; Asteraceae. The record is from RNAcentral.